UGGGGAAUCUUGCACAAUGGGGGCAACCCUGAUGCAGCGACGCCGCGUGAGCGAUGAAGCCCUUCGGGGCGUAAAGCUCUUUCGACCGGAACGAUAAUGACGGUACCGGGAGAAGAAGCUGCGGCUAACUACGUGCCAGCAGCCGCGGUAAUACGUAGGCAGCAAGCGUUGUUCGGAAUUACUGGGCGUAAAGAGUGCGUAGGCGGUUUUCUAAGUUCGGUGUGAAAUCUCCCGGCUUAACUGGGAGGGUGCGCCGAAGACUGGGAAGCUGGAGUGUGGGAAAGGCAGGCGGAAUUCCUGGUGUAGCCGUGAAAUGCGUAGAUAUCAGGAGGAACACCGGCGGUGUAGACGGCUUGCUAAACCAUAACUGACGCUGAGGCACGAAAGCGUGGGUAGCAAACA
This 402-nucleotide ribosomal RNA is filed under the name uncultured bacterium. Its description in RNAcentral is "bacterial SSU rRNA". It matches the Rfam family "Bacterial small subunit ribosomal RNA", at positions 355 to 774 of the family's 1533-position model. The record is from RNAcentral.